CCUACGGGGGGCUGCAGUGGGGAAUAUUGGACAAUGGGGGCAACCCUGAUCCAGCCAUGCCGCGUGUGUGAAGAAGGCCCUCGGGUUGUAAAGCACUUUCAGUGAGGAAGAACGCCUGGUGGUUAAUACCCAUCAGGAAAGACAUCACUCACAGAAGAAGCACCGGCUAACUCCGUGCCAGCAGCCGCGGUAAUACGGAGGGUGCGAGCGUUAAUCGGAAUUACUGGGCGUAAAGCGCGCGUAGGUGGCUUGAUAAGCCGGUUGUGAAAACCCCGGGCUCAACCUGGGAACGGCAUCCGGAACUGUCAAGCUAGAGUGCAGGAGAGGAAGGUAGAAUUCCCGGUGUAGCGGUGAAAUGCGUAGAGAUCGGGAGGAAUACCAGUGGCGAAGGCGGCCUUCUGGACUGACACUGACACUGAGGUGCGAAAGCGUGGGUAGCAAACAGGAUUAGAUACCCUGGUAGUC
This 465-nucleotide ribosomal RNA is filed under the name Vreelandella stevensii. RNAcentral's name for it is "partial 16S ribosomal RNA". It matches the Rfam family "Bacterial small subunit ribosomal RNA", at positions 338 to 795 of the family's 1533-position model. The record is from RNAcentral. Lineage: Bacteria; Pseudomonadati; Pseudomonadota; Gammaproteobacteria; Oceanospirillales; Halomonadaceae.